GACGAACGCUGGCGGCGUGCUUAACACAUGCAAGUCGAACGGAAAGGCCCCUUCGGGGGUACUCGAGUGGCGAACGGGUGAGUAACACGUGAGUAACCUGCCCUUGACUUCGGGAUAACUUCAUGAAACUGGGGCUAAUACCGGAUAGGAAUCCUUGCUUCAUGGUGGGGGUUGGAAAGCUUCGGGGGGUUUGGAUGGACUCGCGGCUUAUCAGCUUGUUGGUGGGGUAGUGGCUUACCAAGGCUUUGACGGGUAGCCGGCCUGAGAGGGCGACCGGCCAAAUUGGGACUGAGAUACGGGCCAGAAUCCUACGGGGGGGAGCAGUGGGGAAUAUUGCACAAUGGGGGGAAGGCUGAUGCAGCAAAGCCGCGUGGGGGAUGACGGCCUUCGGGUUGUAAACCGCUUUCAGCAGGGGAGAAGCUUGUGGUGACGGUACCUGCAGAAGAAGCACCGGCUAACUACGUG
This 465-nucleotide ribosomal RNA is filed under the name uncultured bacterium. RNAcentral describes it as "partial 16S ribosomal RNA". It matches the Rfam family "Bacterial small subunit ribosomal RNA", at positions 28 to 507 of the family's 1533-position model. The record is from RNAcentral.